Molecule: transfer RNA, 87 nt
Filed under: Lactifluus piperatus
Lineage: Eukaryota; Fungi; Basidiomycota; Agaricomycetes; Russulales; Russulaceae
Description: Lactarius piperatus tRNA-Leu
Source: RNAcentral
GCGAGUAUGUCGAAAAUAGGUAGCCGGAUAAAUCUUAGGCAUUUAUGAAUUUAAUUAUUCUUAAGAGUUCAAGUCUCUUUACUCGUA